RNAcentral lists this ribosomal RNA (497 nucleotides) under uncultured bacterium. RNAcentral's name for it is "partial 16S ribosomal RNA". It matches the Rfam family "Bacterial small subunit ribosomal RNA", at positions 28 to 507 of the family's 1533-position model. The record is from RNAcentral.
GAUGAACGCUGGCGGCGUGCCUAAUACAUGCCAGUCGAGCGAACAGACGAGGAGCUUGCUCCUCUGACGUUAGCGGCGGACGGGUGAGUAACACGUGGAUAACCUACCUAUAAGACUGGGAUAACUUCGGGAAACCGGAGCUAGUACCGGAUAAUAUAUUGAACCGCAUGGUUCAAUAGUGAAAGACGGUUUUGCUGUCACUUAUAGAUGGAUCCGCGCCGCAUUAGCUAGUUGGUAAGGUAACGGCUUACCAAGGCAACGAUGCGUAGCCGACCUGAGAGGGUGAUCGGCCACACUGGAACUGAGACACGGUCCAGACUCCUACGGGAGGCAGCAGUAGGGAAUCUUCCGCAAUGGGCGAAAGCCUGACGGAGCAACGCCGCGUGAGUGAUGAAGGUCUUCGGAUCGUAAAACUCUGUUAUUAGGGAAGAACAAAUGUGUAAGUAACUAUGCACGUCUUGACGGUACCUAAUCAGAAAGCCACGGCUAACUACGUG